RNAcentral lists this ribosomal RNA (433 nucleotides) under uncultured Lachnospiraceae bacterium. RNAcentral describes it as "partial 16S ribosomal RNA". It matches the Rfam family "Bacterial small subunit ribosomal RNA", at positions 341 to 792 of the family's 1533-position model. The record is from RNAcentral. Lineage: Bacteria; Bacillati; Bacillota; Clostridia; Lachnospirales; Lachnospiraceae.
ACGGAGGCAGCAGUGGGGAAUAUUGCACAAUGGGGGAAACCCUGAUGCAGCGACGCCGCGUGAGUGAAGAAGUAUUUCGGUAUGUAAAGCUCUAUCAGUAGGGAAGAAAAUGACGGUACCUAACUAAGAAGCCCCGGCUAACUACGUGCCAGCAGCCGCGGUAAUACGUAGGGGGCAAGCGUUAUCCGGAUUUACUGGGUGUAAAGGGAGCGUAGACGGUACGGCAAGUCUGAAGUGAAAUGUCGGGGCUCAACCCCGGAACUGCUUUGGAAACUGUCGAACUAGAGUGCAGGAGAGGUAAGUGGAAUUCCUAGUGUAGCGGUGAAAUGCGUAGAUAUUAGGAGGAACACCGGUGGCGAAGGCGGCUUACUGGACUGUAACUGACGUUGAGGCUCGAAAGCGUGGGGAGCAAACAGGAUUAGAUACCCUGGUA